AGUGUUCACGGCGGUCCUUGAUUUUUGUUCUUAAAACCAAUUAAGGCACGCGGUGAAUGCCAA
RNAcentral lists this microRNA precursor (63 nucleotides) under Ptychodera flava. Its description in RNAcentral is "Pfl-Mir-124_pre stem-loop". It matches the Rfam family "mir-124 microRNA precursor family", at positions 9 to 66 of the family's 72-position model. From Rfam's summary of the family: The mature ~21nt miRNAs are processed from hairpin precursor sequences represented here, in this case originating from the 3' arm. The record is from RNAcentral. Lineage: Eukaryota; Metazoa; Hemichordata; Enteropneusta; Ptychoderidae.